AAUUCAUGGUGAGGGCACCUUCUCAAAAGAUCCUUGUAUCUCUCCCAUGCAUCAUAGAGUGUUUCGAGAUCCAUCUGUACAAAAGUAGAAAUAUCAUUCCUUAACUU
Molecule: small nucleolar RNA, 107 nt
Organism: Gossypium arboreum
Lineage: Eukaryota; Viridiplantae; Streptophyta; Magnoliopsida; Malvales; Malvaceae
Rfam family: Plant small nucleolar RNA R71
About the family: R71 is a member of the C/D box family of snoRNAs containing the C (UGAUGA) and D (CUGA) box motifs. Multiple nearly identical copies of this snoRNA have been identified in Arabidopsis, and it is thought to function as a 2'-O-ribose methylation guide for 18S ribosomal RNA.
Source: Rfam